CUUUGUAUAUGACUAAAAUUGUUAAAUUGUUCUUAUAAUUCCUUUAUGGUGGCUACAAUUCUUAUUAAAACAGAAGAGAUAGAAGAUGUGAACUCAAACAGCCAAUUUUCUCUACUUGCAAUCUAUAAGAAUUUUCAUCCAAGGACAAAGCAGCUGCAGAUGCCCACCCCCAGACGUGUCUGAAUCAUUCAAACAUGGAGAAACCCCUGGGAAUAC
Molecule: long non-coding RNA, 216 nt
Filed under: Chinchilla lanigera (long-tailed chinchilla)
Lineage: Eukaryota; Metazoa; Chordata; Mammalia; Rodentia; Chinchillidae
Description: lncRNA (ENSCLAG00000025341.1)
Source: RNAcentral